Pieris brassicae (large cabbage white) is the source of this 728-nucleotide long non-coding RNA. RefSeq lists it as uncharacterized. NCBI's taxonomy places the organism in Eukaryota, Metazoa, Arthropoda, Insecta, Lepidoptera, Pieridae. The transcript has 5 exons. The record is from RefSeq and is a predicted model, not a curated record.
UUAUUUUUAAAAUGUUCACAUCUAUCCUGCCUAUAUUUUUGGUCGCCGUUGUUUCAGCAAAAGUAGCCAGAAAUCAUGAGGUCCCAUAUCAGGCCUCCAUUAGAUCUGAUUUCGGUCACAUGUGUUCGGGCGCCAUUUUGUAUAAGAAUUGGAUACUGACUGCCGCUAGAUGCGGAAUGAGUCUACGCCGCCGAAAAGUACAAUAUGUUGUGGUGGGUACAAAUGACAUCGCAGGACCAGGUACUAGCUUUCCAGUUGAGAUAAUUCAUGUACACCCCAAGCACAGCCACUAUAAGUACGACAUAGCGGUAGUCAAACUUAACGGUACAAUUAAAUUUAACGACAAAAUCCAACCCAUACAAUUUCCCGAGAGAAGUACAAAACCGGGAGCCAACAUGCUUUUCUCUGGAUGGAAAGGACCAUCUGAUUCAAAUCAGACAAACAAUUUGCUUAUGAGAAAUGUGACUUCAAUAACCAGCGAUGCGUGUCAAAAGGAAAUAGGACCUCAUCUCGAGUUGUACCAAAUUUGCACCAUUGAUAACGACCCUUAUCGAAAAGGCGAAGAAUUCUUUGAUGGCAGAGGUGGUCCAAUCGUGGAAGGAUCAAGAUUGGCAGCCAUCGCAUCCAUUUCGCGUACGAAUAACUCAGCAAGCAUACACACAAGGGUCUACGAACUGCUACCGUGGAUCGUAGUUACCAUAGAUCCGGACCGUCGUGUUUACUGAUUA